UCAUAUUAUGUCUAUGCAAUUUGUAGGAAUUAUAUUAUGUGCAAUCAUUUCUAGCCAUCAACAUACUUUCAAAUGAUUUUGCAUUACUUAGAUUUUGGGUCACAGUCAUCAGCCUUGAAGUAAUUAUCAUAAUGUAUCAUUUGCAUUUUUAAUGUUACAGAAUUUUUUUUCUUUGUUUAUCCCCAAACCUGAAGAACUUGGUAAUUCAUUAUUUUAUAAGAUUAAUUUUUUAGAAUUUAGAAUUAUUGAUUGGCAGGGAACAAAUGAAAAUGAGGGAGACUCAACAUGGCCCCUUUUGCUCUUGAAAUAGAUUAUCAUGUAUUGCAGAACUAAUACAAUAUCAUAUCCUGUAGCAGGGUUUCCAUCAGAAUGAUUCUAGGUGAUGGUGAUAUUAAAUUCUUGGUGAAGUUGACUUUAAUUGUUGGGUUUCCCUCUGCUGUUAUUAUUAUGGAUUAAAUUGAAAUAUCCCAAAAAAGCGUUUAUACAAUGGCAGUCCUAUGGUCGAGAUUAUGCAAGACUUCAGCCCUCCGUUGGUCUUUAAGUGUUGGGAAUCAAGGCCACAAUCUAUACCGUUAAAAAUCCAUUUCUCUGUUUGCAAAGGAAAUUGGAUGGCCAAUUAAUAGUUUUGGAUGUAUUGCAUGGCAAGAAGAUUACAACAGACUAAGAUCUCUUAAUUUACAGAAGUGCUUCUUUUUUUUUUUUUCAGAUAGAACAAGCCUUGAACCUUUGACCUUUAGAUUGUAUACACAAUCAACAAACCAUUUAGGCAUCAAAGAGGCUUGUAUUUCAAAUGAGAUAUCGAUAUGUUAUAAUUGGGCCUUACUGCUAGGCUGAACAUUGCUCAAACCUAAAGAUUUACCCGAUAUUACAGAAGGUGUAAUCUUGCAUGUAUUCUCAAACUAUGUACUAUUACUGUUGUUA
This is a long non-coding RNA of Macadamia integrifolia, 921 nucleotides long. RefSeq lists it as uncharacterized. NCBI's taxonomy places the organism in Eukaryota, Viridiplantae, Streptophyta, Magnoliopsida, Proteales, Proteaceae. The transcript is spliced from 2 exons. The record is from RefSeq and is a predicted model, not a curated record.